Molecule: unclassified non-coding RNA, 3103 nt
Filed under: Leishmania donovani
Lineage: Eukaryota; Euglenozoa; Kinetoplastea; Trypanosomatida; Trypanosomatidae
Description: gene:LdHU3.10.0030(CDS-product:phosphate-Repressi ble_Phosphate_Permease-like_protein)
Source: RNAcentral
UUCCCCGACACGCUACUGCCACAUUUGACCUGCCUCUUACGAACCAGCUAGCUACCGCAACUCGCUUUGGCUUUUCUUUUCCACUUCGCAGCAUUACUCUGAGCCUUUUUACGACGUUUUCUACCUUAUCUGCAACCUGUUUCAUCUCUCCAUUUCACACUUCUUGUCCACGGGAAGUAGGAUAAAAUGGCGAAUGUCAACCCCUAUUUGUGGAUCGUCAUCGUGGGCGGCUUCGUUUCGUUCCUCACCGGCGCCGGUGUGGGCAUGAACGAUUUGGCCAACGCCUUUGGUACCACGUAUGGUGCGCGCAUUCUCACCCUCACGCAGAUUGUCAUCGUAGCCUCUGUUUGCGAAUUUGGCGGUGCGGUGACGCUCGGUGGUGAGGUGACGUCGACCAUCUCCAGUGGGGUUGCCGACCCCAAGGAUUUCGCGAAACAGCCAUAUGUCUUCAUGUACGGUAUGCUUUGCGCCUGUGGCGCCGCCUUCUGCUGGCUGGCGAUUGCCACGUGGCUGCGUCUUCCCGUGUCGUCGACACACAGCAUCUGCGGUGGCGUGAUCGGCUUCGCGCUGGUCUACGGCGGCGGUGGUGCGGUGAGCUGGGCGAAGAGGAAGGACGACUUCCCGUUCUUCAGCGGUGUGGCCCCGAUUGUCGCCUCCUGGUUCAUUUCGCCUGUGCUCACCGGCGCUGUAUCGGCUAUCAUCUACAGCCUGGUUCGCUUCCUCGUGCUUCGCCCUAAGAACUGUGUGAAGCGCGCGAUGUACACCCUGCCCGUUGUUGUGGCCAUUGCCUUCUUCCUGGAGUCUUUCUUCGUGCUCUUCAAGGGCGCGUCGAAGCGCCUCAAGUGGUCGGUGGGCAAAGCUGCCUGGGUGGCUGCGUGCAUUGGCGCCGGCGCUGGCGUGCUCUCGUGCGCCUUCAUUCCCCUUCUGAAGCGCUUGGUUGCUCGUGACGAGGCGCAUGCCUUCGCUGCGUCUGACGAGCGUCCGAGCACGACGGAGGGAUCAACUCAGCGCAAACCGCUCAACGACGAGGACGUGCACAAGGCUCGUGAGGUCACUGGCGACGUUGUUAGCCAAUCGGAGGCCUCCGACUCAGAGCAAUCGGAGGAGCGCCAGGUCACUGGUGCCAGCGGCCUUCAGGUCCAGCAGUACGAAUGGCGUGCCGAGCGCGUGUUUCGCUACCUGCAGGUGUUCACCGCCAUCUGCGCCUCCUUUGCCCACGGCGCGAGCGAUGUCAGUAACGCCGUCGGCCCGCUUGCCGCCAUCUACCAGGUGUACCAGACGGGCGGUGUGGAGAAGAGCUCCUCUGUUCCGAUCUGGGUGCUGUGCCUCGGUGGUGCCGGUCUUGUUUUGGGUCUCUCCACCUUCGGUAUCCGGCUGAUGCGUCUGAUGGGUGAGGAUCUGACUGUCAUCACGCCGAGCCGCGGCUUCUCUGCGGAGCUGUCGGCCGCGCUCGUCGUGUCGUUCGCCUCCGGCUAUGGCAUUCCCGUCUCGUCCACUCACUGCAUCACUGGUGGUGUCAUCGCCGUCAGCAUCGUCGAUGUUGGCUUCCUGAACAUCCGCUGGCUCAUGGUGCUGAAGAUGUACGGUGGCUGGGUGUUUACUCUCGUGAUCACCGCCAUUAUCUCGGCCAUGUUCUUUGCCCAGGGUGCUAGCGCCCCUGCCAUGUAGAUCUCUGUUUGCGUGCGCUCCUGAAUGUGGCAGUUAAAUGUUUACGUCGUGAGAAAAGUAUUUCCCCCUUCUUUUUGCCGGUAUCACUUCGUAGUUUCUGGUGCUGAACUAUUUGCAAAGCCCCGCUGCUCGCCAGACACCUUCUUUUUCCCCUCUUUGCUUCAUGCCAAUUUGAGAUUGUCUCAUGUGUGUACUUUCUGCUGUAUGUGAGGUGCGUGUGUGCGUGUGUGCUUGUGUUUUUUGCCGUAUUAUGAGUUUUCAAGGUACAUGAACAGUUGUCCACGCUCGAAGGCACCUACGACGGACACGCAGCUGUGCACACACAUUUAUCACACACACACACACACCUUUUUCCAGAAGUGCGACUUUCAUUGUGCAAGGUUGACUGAUCUCCUUUUAAUCCCGUCUCUCUCCCUCCCUCCCUCCCUCAGUCGCUGUAAAGGAUGUUGCUUCGGUCUCUUGUUCAUGUAUUUCAAUGUAACCCACUGACUUGUUUGUUUCGACUCAUUUGUUUCUCCAUUCAUGCCUCAUCUUCGUCUUUUUUUCUCGUUUGGCGACUGUUAGCUCUUGCGUGCGCUUGUGCGUGUGUGUGCGUGUUUUUUAACGUUUUCAGCGUAGCGCGUUUCUUUGUUUUCUGUGUGUUGCUGCUCAUUCUUUUGUAGCUCACGGCGCUGCACUCCCAUUGAAAAAAGAGAGAAUAACCCCAAACCUCAAGCCACCAUGAGGCAGCAAGAACGCGAAAAACGAGGCAUCUUAAGACGUGCAGUAAAGCCUUCCUCUUUCGCUUUCUUGUCCUUUUCGUAGCUUCUUUGCUCGUCUAUAUUUUUUUUUUACCUGUUCCCCUCUUCCCAUGCCUCUCUCUGUUUCAUUUCUUCAUCUUCCCAUCUCGCUUGUCGCCGGAAAGUUGCACUCGGAAAGGAAAACCAUCAGCAGGCUAUCAUUCAUUUGCGCGCGUACCCCCCCUCUCCUUUCGCUCAAAGAUGCCUGGACAGUCGAAAGCAAUAGGUCGUCAUAUACAUCAUUUGACUCGUUUUGUUUAUUUGCUUCUUACACUCCAGUUGACUCUUUGUGUGUGGGCGCCCCGUUUUGCUCUGAUGUACUCUCGUAUGAUGAGCAAGACUCUUCGUUGCGGUGCACCUCUUUUAAAAGUGAGAUCAUAAAGGAAGCAGUCCAAAGAAAAAACCCGUGUUUUACUCCUGUAAUCAACUCUUUUCAGGGGAGAGCAAAGCAAGGAGGCCGUGUGAGACUUGAGAGGUAGAUGUUCACGUCUCCCUGACGAGAAAGGACUUUAGGCAGUGACUGCGCAGCUGUGCGAAGAGAGGACAAAACAUCCAAACGUUGUCUGACAUGUUGCAGAAACUGUUGCCCUUGGUGACUCCCAAGUGUUUUCUUCUUCCUGAGAGCCUUAAUGAAGCCCAGUGACCUACCGGCAAAG